GGUCCUCUGCCGCGUGGUUGGAAGUUAUGGCCGCGCCGGUCCGUGGUACUCUCCUUGAAAGGCCUAGGCUUUGGGGGAUGGGAUGCAUGGCAUGGGCACUCGGGAGACAAGAUGCAGGUGCCAUCGCAGAAGUAAUGGCUGGAUCCCUGAAAGCAAACGGACUCGGUGUGGUCGCCAGUCAGAAGGCAUGGGAAGAUGGAUGGCGGGCAUCUGCCUGGCGCACAGAUCUGAAGUUGGCGUCGAGCCCCCCUCAGUGCAUCUCGAUUGAGGUGUCGUCUCCAGGAAUCAUCGAUGUGAGGCGUGGGGCAGAAGGGCCUUCGGGAUGACUAUUAUUGGUCACUGCCCCGUGCCAGAGAGAACCAGAUUGCCUGCUGCUGUUCCUGCCUUUAAUUUACCAGUCAUCUACAGACCUUGAAGUGUGUUCUGCAAGAGGGGCCAGCAGAGCCUCGUGACUGUGGUCACCCUCGGAGGCCUUUGGCGACUGGGGAGGGCUGUCAGGCCUGGGCGGGGCCCUGUCAAGCCUAGGAAAGCAUUUCUCAGUGGAUUUCCUGGAAGUCGGGGUUGGGCUUUGUAUUUUGAAGCACAAAUAAACUUUAUAAAAUUUAA
Molecule: long non-coding RNA, 606 nt
Organism: Apodemus sylvaticus (European woodmouse)
Lineage: Eukaryota; Metazoa; Chordata; Mammalia; Rodentia; Muridae
Exons: 4
Source: RefSeq, a predicted model, not a curated record